GACGAACGCUGGCGGCGUGCUUAACACAUGCAAGUCGAACGGAAAGGCCCUGCUUUUGUGGGGUGCUCGAGUGGCGAACGGGUGAGUAACACGUGAGUAACCUGCCCUUGACUUUGGGAUAACUUCAGGAAACUGGGGCUAAUACCGGAUAGGAGCUCCUGCUGCAUGGUGGGGGUUGGAAAGUUUCGGCGGUUGGGGAUGGACGCGCGGCUUAGCAGCUUGUUGGUGGGGUAGUGGCUGACCAAGGCUUUGACGGGUAGCCGGCAUGAGAGGGUGACCGGGGACAAGGGGACUGAGGUAGGGCGCAGGGGGGAACGGGAGGCAACGGGGGGGAGUAUGACACAGUGAGAGGGAGUGGGUGAAGGAGGCGCUGGGGGCGGGAAGACGGCUUGUGGGGAAAGAACAGCAGCCGCCUGAGACGACGCGGGAGUGACGGUAAUGAAAGAAGAAGCACCGGCUAACUUCGUG
RNAcentral lists this ribosomal RNA (468 nucleotides) under uncultured bacterium. RNAcentral describes it as "partial 16S ribosomal RNA". It matches the Rfam family "Bacterial small subunit ribosomal RNA", at positions 28 to 507 of the family's 1533-position model. The record is from RNAcentral.